UGCAUGUAUAGGAAAAAUAUAGUUUAUACAGGGUUUGGUACUAGCCAUGGUUUCAGACAUCCACUGAGGGUCUUGGACCAUGCCCUCUAUGGAUAAGGCAG
Molecule: long non-coding RNA, 101 nt
Organism: Myotis brandtii (Brandt's bat)
Lineage: Eukaryota; Metazoa; Chordata; Mammalia; Chiroptera; Vespertilionidae
Exons: 3
Source: RefSeq, a predicted model, not a curated record